GGAAUCUGUCUAACUUGAUAAUUAAACCUACAAAAUUAUUUGCCAGAGAACUACUAACUACAGCUUAAAACUCAAAGGACUUGGCGGUACUUUAUAUCCAUCUAGAGGAGCCUGUUCUAUAAUCGAUAAACCCCGUUCUACCUUACCCCUUCUCGCUAAUUCAGCCUAUAUACCGCCAUGUUCAGCAAAC
This 190-nucleotide ribosomal RNA is filed under the name Varanus salvator (water monitor). RNAcentral's name for it is "partial 12S ribosomal RNA". Lineage: Eukaryota; Metazoa; Chordata; Lepidosauria; Squamata; Varanidae. The record is from RNAcentral.